This is a long non-coding RNA of Cyprinus carpio (common carp), 1166 nucleotides long. NCBI's taxonomy places the organism in Eukaryota, Metazoa, Chordata, Actinopteri, Cypriniformes, Cyprinidae. The record is from Ensembl.
CUCCCUCUGGUCACAUUGUCACACUCACAUGGUUGGUCUCUCGCUUCAACCAUAUCCUGCCCGGUUUAAUGCUAUAGGCUCCCUGACGGAGCUCAGGUCGGAAGAUUUAAUACUUUAGCUAUUCAAUCAUUAAGGUGUUUUAUACAUCUAGCCUCGGCCUUUUCACUCCCUCGUAAAAAAUAAUAUUUGUCUUUCCAACUGUACUGUGAACCACAAAGUCCUUAUAUUUUAUUUUCAUCUGUGCUGUAAAACCUUGUUCUUGCCCUCAGACCCACCCAGCUAUGGGCAAUUACCUUGUUCUGUAACUGUACUGUGGUGUGUGAUCAUGUAUGUAUAUGCGUGCCUGAAGAUGUAUGAGCUGAUCUGUGGGGAAGCCACACUCUGGGCAGGAGGUCAAGGCUACUUGAGAUUGCGAGAGUGUGUAAUAUGUGCUUUAACUUCCUCGGCCUGGCACACACACUCACACACUCACCAGCCCACAUUUGCAGCCAUGUUUUUCCAGGCCUGACAUGCUACUGCUUCUGUUGUGGUAACGAAAAGACAAGCUGUAAAUGAAGUGUGAGAAGAAGUUGGAAUGAACAAGUGUAGAAUAAGAGGUGGAAAGAGAUCAAUUCAAAGAGAGAACACACCUGGAUCUAUGACUUGGGUUUCAGAACUGAAGAACAUCUCAUACCUGGCACUUCGACAGUCUUCCCCUCAGUUUUAUCUGUAGAAACUCCACAGCGACUGUCCAGACGUUAAACAUCACUGUGUGCUUGAGUGCUGUGUCAAGUCAGCUAAUAUUAUUGCUGCCUCAUUUGCUAAUGAAAGCGCUAACUUGUGAGAUGAGCUGAGUGAUCCUGUUAGCAUUGUGAAGAGGCAUCUUCAGGGCUGUCAUUUUUCUCUUCUACUGCAGGCUCGUUAGAGGACAACGAUCUGCUCAUUAGGAGUGUAAGUAGCGGGCGUGAAUAUGAGGAACUCAGGCUGCCCAGAGCUGUUUGUAAUAGCAGACUGGCAAACUACUCAAACUUAUAUUUUGGCAAAUUCUCUGUAUGGUUGGAAUACCUGUAUUACUUGCUACUACAUAUGCAAAAAUGUGCAGUACGAAUCAAAGCAUACUAAGAGGAAUAUUACACAAAAUAACGCAACACACUCAACCUUCCAUUUCCAAUGUGAUAAAUGACCCA